This is a non-coding RNA of Camellia sinensis, 1366 nucleotides long. The record is from RefSeq and is a predicted model, not a curated record. Lineage: Eukaryota; Viridiplantae; Streptophyta; Magnoliopsida; Ericales; Theaceae.
AAAUAAUAAAAUAAAUAAAAUUAUGAUUUUUACUUAACAAAAAAUACAAAAACAUUAAACAUUAAUGUUAAUUAAAAAAUGCCCAACAAGUAAAAAAAAAAAAAAAAAAUUUGCGUUGACGCGUUGACCGGCCGGACGUUCGGCUGGACUUCCUGUAACACCCAAUCCGAAUGGACUAAUUUGCUAAUACCAUCUCUCACCCCGGAUUGCUAAUACCCCUCGCCCAAGGCCCAUCCCAGUCCCAACGGACUAACAAUCCGGAGGCCACAACACAAAACAAACAUGAGCUAUAUAUAUUGUUCAUCCAUCACAGUCCACUCUGGACUGUGAUGCGCCUAAACAAACGGGGCCAUAUAGUUGUUCAUUUUUUUGGAGACAUGAUAAAAUGAAAAGAUUACAAAUAUCGGAUCGACCUAUGUUUUUCCAUGCAGAUACACUGAAGCCAUGUUUGUUUGGACGGACAUGUGCUUGGGAUUGGACUAAUAGUCCAAUAAAAUUAUUAAUCCAAUGUUUGGUUACAAAAUUGAAGUACAGAUUAACAAUCUAUCCGGAUAUGGUAUCCCACAUAUGAUGGACUAUUCAAUCCCACAUAAGGGGUGAGAUAUAAAUUGGGGUACCAAGUCAAAAUCUAAACGAACUUAUCAAAUGACCAUAAUAGAGGUAUUAUGGUCAAUAUAUUGAAUGUUUCAUGUUGUUACAUGUCCUAUCCAUUCCAAUCCCCUUAACCAAACAUCGGAUUAGAUAAUAUUUUGUUAAUCCCUCCUUAUAAUUCUAACUCAAUCCAAACAUAGGAUAUGAUACACAGUCCAAAAGGAUUCAUAGUCUUAAGACUAUUAGUCAUGUGAAUGCUAAUCCAAUCUAAUCCAGUCCAUCUAAACAAACAUGGCCUAAGAGCGCUACAAAAUGAACAAUUCGGGUCAUUAAAACAAAAGUUAUGAUGGCCCAUGGACUCCUUAAGUUGUCUCAAGUUCAAAUUUGAACUGGAUAUAUAUAUAUAUACACACACACACACACACACACACCAGAUCACACAAGUCCAAAAAAAAAAACUAUAAAUAAAACCAUUACUGAGGAGGAGCACCAAUUCCACAAGAAAAACCUGAGCAUCUGGAGAAUGAAAUGUAGCAAAGCUAAAAUAAUACAUAUUGGGCUGAAAUAUAAUUGCAGAAUUUUCUCCAUCCAGUGGAGAGUAAAGAAAAGAGUAUAAUUACCCAAAAAGAAAUUGGGAAAAUGAUGUAAUAACUAAACAAUUUAUGAGACACAGGUCAUAAAAAGUGUAUGUACAUAGUACUCAAGUAUUGCAAUCUUGGUCUUUUUUCUUUUCAUAUAUAUAGAAGGGGGUGGGGGAUAGGAAAAAGAGUAUUCC